AGGUCAGAAAUCUACAUAGUUGCAUCAAAUAGCAGAAGAUUUUGUAUCACCAGAACAUUUAGCUCAUUGUCUCAUGUUGACUCAUGAGUUUCGCCGACUGUCGGACACAUGCACAUACUAAUCACGAAGACAAAUUACAGAUCAAGAACCUUAUAUACCAUUCGGUGAAGGACUCGGUUGGAGUAUCACUGAGCGAACGAUAGCGGCAUGGCGACGGAUGCCGAUUCUCACGUAAUCGCUUUAAUGCUUUAAUGCAGACGGUACUAAAACUGGUUUAACUGGUAUACCUUUCAUCACUACAGACGUACUGUACUGUUAGUUCUUAAUACAAUACUCAUGUCGGUUUGUACUGUAUAUAUAGCGCU
Long non-coding RNA from Corticium candelabrum, 365 nucleotides. RefSeq lists it as uncharacterized. Lineage: Eukaryota; Metazoa; Porifera; Homoscleromorpha; Homosclerophorida; Plakinidae. The record is from RefSeq and is a predicted model, not a curated record. The transcript is spliced from 3 exons.